UACGUAGGGUGCAAGCGUUAAUCGGAAUUACUGGGCGUAAAGCGUGCGCAGGCGGUUUUGUAAGUUUGUCGUGAAAGCCCCGGGCUCAACCUGGGAAUUGCGAUGAAGACUGCAAGGCUUGAAUCUGGCAGAGGGGGGUAGAAUUCCACGUGUAGCAGUGAAAUGCGUAGGAGAUGUGGAGGAACACCGAUGGACGGAAGGCAGCCCCCUGGGUCAAGAUUGACGCUCAUGCACGAAAGCGUGGGGAGCAAACAGGA
This 257-nucleotide ribosomal RNA is filed under the name uncultured bacterium. Its description in RNAcentral is "partial 16S ribosomal RNA". It matches the Rfam family "Bacterial small subunit ribosomal RNA", at positions 524 to 777 of the family's 1533-position model. The record is from RNAcentral.